AUAUAUAUAUAUAUAUAUAUAUAUUGUGUACUAUAUACAAACUAGCAAUGACUUAUACUUCAAGUAAAGAAAUGCUUUAAAAAUCCAAUCCAUAAUUUUGACUGACAACUAAGCUAAGAACAACUGAUUUUUCUCUUAAUAACAGUUUUCUUCAAAGGAGAAUUAUGAGUCAAUUGACUCAGUGUUAUUGCCUCAACACAUCAAACAACAACAACAGAACAUUUGGUCAAGAAAUGAAAUCAGUGAAGAAUGAACCACUCAAAUACUUCAAAUAGUACUAAAAUAAGUAACACAUUCACUCAAAACUUAGGAAAUAUUUCUUUUCAAGAAAAACAAAAUGGUGUAAAUGACACAACCUAGCCCAUAUCAAACUGCCAAUCAAAUAUACUUCACAUCAAUGAUUUGACAUUGUAAAACUGUAAGCUCAGAGCAUGUAAAGAGUGUACCAAAAAAUUCAAAAGCCAAGAUACACCUGAUAUCUAUGUUUUUCAUUGACAUUUUUCACUCCCAAUACAUUUUUUGAGACAGUCCAAGUCCAAUUCAAACAACUAUAAAUACUAUAAGCGGUCUUUCAGUAAUAAUGUGUAGAAGGAUAAAUAUGGUUAUCUUUUUCCCUCAAUAAAAUCUACCUGUUGAUUUUAGGGAUUUUUGAAGACAAGUCUUAAGAUGAACAUCAAACAAAUGAAUGACACUAUAAUUGUGACACGCUGAUGGAGACUUUUGUUAAAUAAACUGCUAGAAACUAGCACUAAAAAUUAAAAAGAAAAAAAAAAACAAGCUAACAUAACAGUUACAACAGCAAGAACAAGCAGAAACAGGACCAAAUGUUAUCAACUGGAAAAUAUCACAGGGUUAUACAACACUGGCUGUAAAAUAUCUAGACAUGAAUUUUUCUUAAUAAAAUGGACUGGACAUCAUAAGCUAAAAGGCCGUCUGUAAUCAGAAUAAAGAAUAAAUACAAAGUGAAAUAAAUGUUAUGUUUUUAGAUAUAUAAGACUGUUCUUCUAAGCAAUUAAAUAAUUAAUUAGCAUAGAAUUGGUUCAAAAAUUGUAUAAAAGGAUCUAAGUUUAAUUGCCCAUACUGGAUCAGCAAUGGAAAAAUAAGUGACAAUGUUGUUCCCCCAUUUCGUUUAUAGAGGAGAUGAUGUCAAGGUCAUCUGUUUCUGUGGCGUAAAGUGUUAUUUUUAAUUUGAUUUUAAUAAAUGCAUUAAGUUAGAUCCCAAAAAAAAUGUAAACCUUAUCCAACUUCUGCUGUUUUUAACAAUUCUGUAAGGUUUAAUAUCCUUUUAUAUUUAAACCAUUCUAUUGGUUCACUAGUAUAAAGUAUCUUUAACAAAGCCUACAGGAGAAAAAUAAUUUCACAAAACAAUCUUACAUGAUUUGAUUAGAGCAACUUAUUACUAAUGAUUAAUUAUUAAUGAAUCAAUAACCUUGCUUUUAAGUCAUCUUGAUCUAAACACACACACAGAUAUUUUUAUUUGGCUAAAAAUACAAAAAAAAAGCAGUGGAGUAUUGUUAUAAAGCUAAACAGAAAAAAAAAUGAGCUCACAAUUUACAAAAAGCAACAAAGGAAAAAGUUUUAAUUUAAUAAAUUCUGAAAUGUAACUAUCUUACAAAGAUUUCAAAGGUCAGAGUAGAAGAAAGUUUAUUAGUAAAUGAUAAUAUAUAUAUAUAAAAUGAGCAAGUAAAACAAUAGUACCCCAGUUUAAGAAAGAAUUUGAUUUAAAUACAAAUACCAAUGGACAAUUAAUAACUGAAGAUGUAAAGAUUAUGACUGGAUUCAUAGUUUUAAAAAAAAUGCACCAAAAAAAAAAAAAAA
This is a non-coding RNA of Biomphalaria pfeifferi, 1818 nucleotides long. NCBI's taxonomy places the organism in Eukaryota, Metazoa, Mollusca, Gastropoda, Planorbidae. The record is from the annotation of a GenBank genome assembly.